GCUAUUCAAUAUUUCAAAAUUUUAAUAUUAUUGUUAUUUUUUUAAUUUAUUUGAUUUGAAUCGGUGGACGCAAUUUUUACUUUAAAUUUAAGGUAAUUACUUAAUUUAAAUAAAUUUAUAAUUAUGAGAAUUGUAUAAACUAUAUCAACUGAAUAUAUAAAAAACAAACAAAUUGUAUUUAAAAUUUAAAAUUAAAAUAUUAUCGACUGACUCAAAUUAAAUAAAUUUAAAAAUUAGAUAAAAAAUUUUAUAAAAUAAAUAUCUAUUUAUAUUCGAAUGAUCUAUAGUUCAGAUAAAUUUCGUACGCAUCUUUCUAAAAGUU
Molecule: long non-coding RNA, 322 nt
Filed under: Ananas comosus (pineapple)
Lineage: Eukaryota; Viridiplantae; Streptophyta; Magnoliopsida; Poales; Bromeliaceae
Description: long non-coding RNA (ACOM_LNC013951)
Source: RNAcentral